CUAAACUGAGCAUCUUGUUCUCUUACGCAAGGUCCAGAUGGCAACAGUAGCAAUCAGGAAACAGCUUUGUUUAAAUACCUAGCACUGACCGAAUGCUGCCAGACAAUCUAAGGAUACAAGAGUAUCACUUGCGAGUGAUGCGAGUGUCAGAAAGUAAAUACACUUUAUUUCUUUCCUGUUAUAACAUGGAAGUAUGCAUCGCGUGUGACAUUUAAGAGAAGAGCGAUGUAUACAACAGUUAUUCUCACUGACUUAAUUAAAGGUUUUGAAUGUGAAUUUCCGAGAAGCAAACAAGUAUUACCACGAGUGGCGUAAAAGAAGUAUUACGACUGUGAAUAAAAGAAACCUCGGGAGAAAGGCAUCAGGGGUGUUAUGGAGAAACGUGAAUCAUUGGCAGAAUUUCUUAGCAGGAGAGUGUGCUGAGAAACCUAUGAGGAGAAGCAAAAGCUACUCAAUCUUUCAAGAGGAAUUGAGCAGUUUAAGAGAAAUUGAGUUGGCCCGGAGCAGGGAGCCAGCCGAGGAAAGAGAUCGGCCUCCAGAUCCCUGCUUAGAGAAGUGCUUGUCACACAGAGAGUUGGAGCUGGAAGAACGUAAGGACCUGGAGGGAGAGUAUUUUGUGAGAGCAGAUUGUACAGAGCGUGAUGCCAGGCCCCAGACAGCCUUAUGGAUGAUGCAGAGGGAUAUGAAUUUGAUCCUUGCAGCAACUGGAAGCCAAUGGAGAGAUUUUAGUGCUGGAGAGGUACGGUGCUUGGGCUUGAGGCCAAGGAUAUGUCUUGCAGCCCUAUUUUAAAUGAGCUGGAGGGGCCUGAGAGAGGAAGAGGAUAGAUUAAAGAAGAGGCUGAUGACAUAGUCCAGCCUAGAGAGUACCAGAGCUUCUGGGAAAGGUGAGUAAAAGAAGGAUGCCUCUGAGGAGUUGAGGUUGGAAGUAGGCCCUGUUGGCAAGGUCCAUAAUGUGAAGGAGAAAAAAAGAGGAUCGAAGAUGAUUCAGAGGUUUCGGGCUUCAGUAGAAAGAGGUGGGGGGACUGGGGGUGUCCAAGGGGGGAUGCUAGGGAGAAGGGAGGAAGAUGGGAGCAUGAUUCUGGAUAGGGAGGAUAUCACCCAACACCGACAUUCACCAGACCCCAGAAAAAGUGUUGGUUGAUGUACAAAGCACGACAGUGGCCAUGGAAGCUGGAAUCCACUAAGGAGUGUGUGACAACUCACCUGUCAACUAGUCCUAAAGAUUGAUGGUGCUGGAGCGUUAGGACCAUGUUCGGCCAUUACUGGUACUGAGAUCUACGGGGCAAAGCCAUGAUGAGUAAGAGUGCUGCUGUGGUACGCACAGAAGCAAGGUCGAGGGUCCGGGUGUAGCCACAGCAGGUUGCAGAUCUAGAUGUAGUAGCAAAUAGUCAAACAAGAACUUUGAAUGCCAAAGUGGAGAAGGGAGAGUGCUGUUCAGAAGGGAUGGGCAAUGGCAUCCGUUACCCUCAGCAUUUUGGUAGGGAGUACACAGAAUGGCAUAGAUAGGUGCCCUCACGGCAUCCAGUGCGGUAACACAAACAAUACUGGAAAAGCUGUCAGAAGCCCCAUAGAGAGUUCUCAUUUCUAUGUGAAUCGCAGGGUUUGCCCUGAGAGAAGGGCACGAGCCUUGGAAAACACUGUGAUACUGGUGGCACCCGGUGAGCAUCUAGUGAGCUCUUGCUGAUCCUUGAAACCCAGGGGUGAUUGUGUAAAUCUCACACAGGGACUUACCCAUAUUCACAGCAGGUCUCCAAGGUGCACAGCCUCUGGCAUGUUGGAACAAAUUAGGUAAAGGAAGUCGGCAAGUCAGAUUCGUAACUUCAGCAUGAUGAUUGGCUCUAAGGUCUGGGUGGGUCGGGACUGGCGUAAAGCAGGUCUGGGCAUGUGGCAUGGCUGCACGAGUGGUCUACCCCGGGGCAACACCGACUCUGGACACAAGCUGUGCCCUUUCUGUGGAUGGCACCAACUGUGAUGGUGCCUGUCUCCAUUCCCCUACCGAGGUUCAGGGCCAGCAUUCUGCCUUGGAAAAUGCCUAGCAGCUGACUUAGAACUAGUGCAGAACAGAGGAAUCUGACUGCUUAAUUUCAGCAAAGCAUCACAAAGGUCAUGGCAGGUUUUUAUGCAAUGUGAUUUCUGGCCAGUGCUCUGAAUAUCAAAGUGUAGUAUUUAAAUGAAGCACAGUUAAAUGGCAGGAGUUAUUAUGAGUCUCUUAAGGUAGCCAAAUGCCUUGUCAUCUAAUUAGUGAUGCGCAUGAAUGGAUGAAUGAGAUUCCCACUGUCCCAACCUACUAUUUAGCUUAACCACAGCUAAGAUACAGGUUUGGCAGACUCAGUAGAGAAAGGAGACCCUGUUAGGCUCGGCUGUAGCCUGGCACUGUGAAGAGAAGUGAGAGGAGUAGGGUAAGUGGGAGGCCCUCAUGUUCUGGUGAAUUACCACUACUCAUAUAGUUUAUUUCACUUAUGAGGUGAGGUGGUGGGCGAGCCUCGUGGAGAUCUCACUUCUGGCUGCAAGCACAUGGCACCCACCGGGUCCAACCGGCUCUGGGGACAGUGGCAGGUGGGGGGUGUGACUGGAGCGGUAUACCAGUCAAAUGAUAAGGCAGGUGUCCUAUGGUAAAAUGAGGAGGACAGAAACCCUUGGAUGAGCAGAAGAGCAAAUGGUGCUUGCGUGAUCUUGAUUUUCUGUAUGAAUACAGACCAUGAAACCUCGGCCUCACAAUUAUUCUAACUGUUUGUUUUUCAAGCAGGUGAUGUCAGGAAAUGUGUCACUGGGAUGACUGGCUUGUGGUGGCAAAGCGGUCAUAUUGAUGUUGCUUUUGAUCCUUCGAUGUCGGCUCUUCCUAUCAUUGUGAAGCAGAAUUCACCAAGCGUUGGAUUGUUCACCCACUAAUAGGGAACGUGAGCUGGGUUUAGACCGUCGUGAGACAGGUUAGUUUUACCCUACUGAUGAUGUGUUGUUGCAAUAGUAAUCCUGCUCAGUACGAGAGGAACCGCAGGUUCAGACAUUUGGUGUAUGUGCUUGGCUGAGGAGUUAAUGGGGUGAAGCUACCACUGUCAGAUUGAGACUGAACGCCUUUAAGUAAGGAUCCUAUCCUAAACUGUAAAAAUACUGCAGCGCUUUGUAGCCUAGUUAGCAUAGGAUAGCUGGAAUCUGGGCCAUCUGGCUGAGGUGGUCGGACCAGAUGAUCUGAAUGACGGCUGGUCAGGCUGUCUCCUGCAUAUGUCUGCAGCAAGGCUC
RNAcentral lists this ribosomal RNA (3237 nucleotides) under Ambystoma mexicanum (axolotl). Its description in RNAcentral is "eukaryotic LSU rRNA". The stretch from base 802 to 3237 matches the Rfam family "Eukaryotic large subunit ribosomal RNA". The record is from RNAcentral. Lineage: Eukaryota; Metazoa; Chordata; Amphibia; Caudata; Ambystomatidae.